AAGAGUUAUCACUCCACUUCCAGCUCCAAAACUAAUGGAUCUUCCAAUGUUUCAAGGAGAGCAUAGAGAGAGCUUGUAUUGGGGUACUUACAGGCCUCAGGUUUAUUUUGGAGUUCGCGCAAGGACUCCGCAAUCAUUAGUUGCUGGCUUAAUGUGGCUUGGAGUCAAGAAUGAGAGGUAUUUCAUGCGUCAUGUAUGCCAAGAUUCAGAUGAGUUGAAACAAUAUGGCUGGACUAGUCAUAAUGGACGGGAUUAUGGACAUCAGGUUCUGAGUGAACAGGCAAUGACCUUGACUACUAGUUUUCUGAAAUCCAAGGAUCAUGGUAGUGGCUAUGGUGGAGACUGGGCUGUUCGAAUUGGAGUGCAGAGCAAUGAAUCUGUCCCUGAUGAAGAAAUGUUAAAAACCGCACACUUGUUUUUUUAUGUGGCUGAUGAAGGCGGGAAAAGUCUUACUUUGGGUAGCCGAGUCUUGGAUAUUCAUGGUGAUUCUAUUUUGGCAUCAGGAUCACGUAGUGACAUUGGAGACUGGCAGCUCCACUUAUUUUCAGAGGAUGUAUCUGGAGUACAUUAUUCUGGCUUCAAGACACCUCACAUUCACAAUCUCUCUGAUCUAGUCCAGGCAAAUUUGGCAGUCCAAGCAAGACAAUUUGGCCAUUUACAGCUUUCGGACUCAUCUGAUGAUUCUCCCAGCAUUUUAGUAUUUCAGAUUUCUGCUAGGAUUCCUUUCAAAGCAGACAUUGUUUUUCUUUCUGGAACCAGUACUCGUGAUUCAAGAGUUGAAGAACGGGCCAGCAGGCUGACAGGUACUUCAUUGACUAGUUUAUUCUCUGAGAAGCAAAAGGAGUUCGACAAUAAGUUUAAGAAAAGCUUUAUCCUAUCUGAUGAGCUUGGUUUGGAGCCUGUGACUGUUGGUAAGGCUGCUCUUGGAAACAUGUUGGGUGGGAUUGGAUACUUCUUUGGCCAGUCAAAGAUUUCACUUCCAUCAAUCUCCACUCCUAAUGCUGGGGAUAAUUCUGUCUUAUACUGGCCUGCUGAGCUAUAUACAGCAGUUCCAAGUCGGCCCUUCUUCCCAAGGGGCUUCCUAUGGGACGAAGGUUUUCAUCAACUGCUAAUUUGGCGUUGGGAUGUAUACAUUAGCUUGGAUAUCAUUGGACAUUGGUUAGAUCUGAUGAAUAUUGAUGGAUGGAUUCCGCGCGAGCUAAUCUUAGGUGCCGAAGCAUUGAGUAAGGUCCCAGAAGAAUUUGUUCUUCAGCAUCCAACUAAUGGAAACCCACCGACACUGUUUUUGGCCUUGCGAGAUCUGAUCUCCAAGCUGAAGAAAGAAAAGUUUGCUGCAACUGAGGCCAGGGAUAUCUCUGUCUUCUUGGAUCGGGCAUUUGUCCGCCUCGAAGCAUGGUUCAAAUGGUUUAACACAACUCA
This 1419-nucleotide unclassified non-coding RNA is filed under the name Hevea brasiliensis (rubber tree). The record is from RNAcentral. Lineage: Eukaryota; Viridiplantae; Streptophyta; Magnoliopsida; Malpighiales; Euphorbiaceae.